CCGUAAAUGGGCUUACGUUCGCCGCUGGGAUUUCGGAGCACACUGUCGCCCAGGUGCAUCUUGUAGCUGUUAGUCACAUUGCGCCACGGCAGGACAUCAACCGAACCAUCUUCCCGAGGAACUUACAAAGUUAUCACCAAAGAUCAUGACCACGCAGGUGAACAGAUUGUCGGACACCGCAUUGACAAGAUCCGUGUGUCGGAAGUGACAGAGCUCAGUCUUCUCCCGCUCCACGUUCGUGGCCUUGGCAAUGUAUGUCAGCCGCUCCUUAGGAUUCAGCUCGGCCGCAUAGUUCUUGAGCACGGUGUGGUAGGGAAUCCAGGCCAGGACCGAAUCACCUCCGUUGGCGCACACCUCCGCCUGGACUCCCCUUCCAGUCAGUUCUCCGUUGCGCAGCUUAAAAUAGUGAUGGUUAUCCCGCUUGAUUGUGGUGGAGCCGUGAUCUGCGCACAGGGUGUCCACGAGGCUUGCCUGGGAAACGGAGAGAUAAAAGUUAGACUAAAACAAACACCUUGUUCGUAAAUAACCACCGUCUUCGGCUUAUCUCCGCCGGCAUUAUCUUCUUCAGCUGCGAUGGACACUUUGUCACUUUAUCGUCAAGCUAAUUCAAUUUGGAAUAUCAGCCACUCGAAUAAUUUACGGCUGGCAUUGGAUUUGUCACUUAAGGAUGUCGAUGGGGCAAACUAGUUUGGCGACGCUGCAUUUGCCAUUAAAGGUAGGGAGUUUUUGAAAUUGAGGCCAUUUUUAGCAAAUAUGGAAUCGUUAAAUCUGCUUUUAGUCGCCAAAUAAUUGCACUAACUGCAAUACUUUUGUUCCAAAAGCAGUUGAAUCCAUAACAAAUUGCAUAUUUGCUACUUCUUUACUUUAAAUUGAUCGUUUCUAAAAUUCUUCUUUUCUAUUAUGGUUUACCAACCAAGAAAAUCCAGAAAACUAUAGCUCAUAAAUGGGUAUUUCCAUAUGCACAUGAUUUUACCUUCUCAUUUUGGGUCAACGUGGUGGCCUUAAUGUGGCACUGUAGGUCCUCCUCGCUGGGGAUGACCACAUGUCGAUCGAUCUCCGACAGAAGGAUGGGAUCUGUCUUAAUGCAGAAAUGAGGGUGUUCAUCGAGGGCCGCAACCAGUGUCACCAGCACGGCCAGGCAUCCGAUGAUGGUGGCUUUCAUAGACAUUUCCGCAGAUCCGGUGCACAGAGUUCUUGGAUUAAAUUGCGCCACAGCCGUCGAUAGGCACACUUCGGUGGUCAAGUAGUAACUAAAUUUGCAAUUUUCGAACACCUGAGCAACGGCCUAUACGAACGCAUUCAACUUGACCGCGAAGCUGUCGCACAACGAACACCUUAAUAUCACCAUAUUUAUCUACUGAUGAAGGAUUCGGCCGAGAUUCGCUUCGAUUUUCGGUGAGAGCCGGUCCGUGUCCGUAAUAGCGUCACCGAAAACCCAGUUAGUGAGCAACGACCGGGGUGAUGAAUGUAUUCGUUUUUCCAACUUGCAGUCCACACUUGGCGAUAAGAUAAUCGGCACCAUUUGACUCAAUCCGAAUAGACCGUAUGUGUAACACUGGUUAGUUAUGAUUUCUGUAAGCAUUAGGGUGGAUCAAUCAGUUCUCGUUGACUUUAUUUUGUAUAAUAUUGUCAUUCUUUAUUUAAUUAAUAUUGUAAAAUAUCCUAGACACCCCACGCAUCCCGAGAUACCCAUUAUUCCAUUUAUCAACAAUAUAUUUAAGUCCAGAGACUACUGUGGGAGUUAUUCAAAUCAAUACGACAUAAACAUUCGGACUUCUUAGGUGACAUAAAUCACACGAUCGACGCCUUACCGUCGACAACAGACAUAAACAAUUUUCAAACUUUUAAACAAAGGGUCCAGCCAGUGAACCCAUUUAUCAGCAUAAAAGCUUCGACCAAUCCGAAUUAAUUAAACAAAAGAUGAAGCCUGACGAGGCAUAGAUCAGGCCACAGUUUUAGGAAACCGAAAUCUUCUGAGCAAAGUCAAUUUUCGCUGACAGCGUCGCUGUCAUCUAUUCAUCACCAUUGCCCAAGCCCAAGACACCGUCCAUCAAGAGCAACAAGGAGAAGGCCCGCUCGCUGGACUCGGCAACCUCGCUCUCGCGACAGAAGAAAGUCACCAGGAAUCAACACCACUGACUGGCUUAUGUACCACCGCAAGACUUAUUGAGGCAAAUAAUAUUGUAUAUAAAUAAAUUCAGUAUAUGAUAGCAUUAAUUUCUAAAACGAAA
Molecule: long non-coding RNA, 2231 nt
Organism: Drosophila mauritiana
Lineage: Eukaryota; Metazoa; Arthropoda; Insecta; Diptera; Drosophilidae
Exons: 2
Source: RefSeq, a predicted model, not a curated record